AUACAUUGAAAAUUUAUUCACUCACCAGAUUGUUAAUUUCUAGAUUCAACGAGAAACUUUUAAGGAUUUUAGAAAUUAUGGAUAACUUGUCAAUCUCUAACUGCUGAUCUAUCCAUUAUUGACGCUGUUUUGAAACAAUCCGCACUAUUUUCUUUUUUUCAAAAAAAAGUAAAUCAAGCCUAGCUUGCUUCAGGGCGUCGUUGCUUGUCCUUUCUUUGAUUAAAAAAUUUUUCACUUUACCCUCCUAUGAUUUAAUUUUUAUUUUAUCAAAAAACUCCUUAUAGAAUAGGGUGGCAAAGUAGAAAUUAUUAAGAAAUUAUAGGACGACAAAAUAAAAAAUGUGCUAAAUCACAAGAAGACUAAGUGAAACUUUUUAAACCAUAGAAUAAUAAUUGGCAGAGUAAAAAUGAGUUAAACUAUAGAGGAGCAAAAUAAAACUUUUUGAGCAAAGGGUGGCAAAGUGAAAAUGAGUUAUACCAUAGAAGGGGCAAUUUGAAGUUUGCCUUUUUUUUUUUUUUUUUAAAGCAAAGUUGAAUUAGGCUCAGUUUGAGAUUGCCGGGCAAAAUGCCUCAAGUACAGUAAGAAAGUGCAAUAAGAAAAUAUUCCUUUUGUCUGCGUAAUAAUAUUAGAGUAAACUUCAAAUACCACUUAUAUAGUUUUGCACUUUUUUAUUUUAGUACCUUAUAGUUUAAAGUAUAUCACUUUACUACAUGUGGUUUUAUUUUUCUCUUCUAGUCAGCACCUCUAACUCUCCGUUAAAUCAUAUACAAAAACUUCAAAUACUCAUAUAUAAUUUAUUAAAUAUUCACUUUAGUAUUCUAUGAUUUACCGAAUUUUUUACUUUAGUACUCUGUGGUUUAACUUUAUCAUUGAGAUAAUGAAAAAAUUAACGAAAGAAAUAAAAAAAAAAUAAAAUAAAAUCACAAAAUAUUAAAUUGUUAUAUUUUAAAUCACACAUGGUGAAAAUGAGAAAGCGCGAAACCACAUGGAGCCGUCUACUG
Molecule: long non-coding RNA, 1001 nt
Filed under: Ananas comosus (pineapple)
Lineage: Eukaryota; Viridiplantae; Streptophyta; Magnoliopsida; Poales; Bromeliaceae
Description: long non-coding RNA (ACOM_LNC024783)
Source: RNAcentral